UCCUGGCUGGCUCAGUGUGUGGAGCAUCUGACUGCAGCUCAGGUCACGAUCUCACGGUUUGUGGGUUCGAGCCCCGCGUCGGGCU
RNAcentral lists this transfer RNA (85 nucleotides) under Felis catus (domestic cat). It matches the Rfam family "tRNA". From Rfam's summary of the family: Transfer RNA (tRNA) molecules are approximately 80 nucleotides in length. Their secondary structure includes four short double-helical elements and three loops (D, anti-codon, and T loops). The record is from Rfam by way of RNAcentral. Lineage: Eukaryota; Metazoa; Chordata; Mammalia; Carnivora; Felidae.